Molecule: transfer RNA, 73 nt
Filed under: bacterium
Lineage: Bacteria
Also listed under: 1 other name
Description: tRNA-Ala
Rfam family: tRNA
About the family: Transfer RNA (tRNA) molecules are approximately 80 nucleotides in length. Their secondary structure includes four short double-helical elements and three loops (D, anti-codon, and T loops). Further hydrogen bonds mediate the characteristic L-shaped molecular structure. tRNAs have two regions of fundamental functional importance: the anti-codon, which is responsible for specific mRNA codon recognition, and the 3' end, to which the tRNAs corresponding amino acid is attached (by aminoacyl-tRNA synthetases). tRNAs cope with the degeneracy of the genetic code in two manners: having more than one tRNA (with a specific anti-codon) for a particular amino acid; and 'wobble' base-pairing, i.e. permitting non-standard base-pairing at the 3rd anti-codon position.
Source: RNAcentral
GGGGGAUUAGCUCAGUUGGGAGAGCACAAGCUUUGCAAGCUUGGGGUCACCGGUUCGAAUCCGGUAUCCUCCA